AGCGAACGCUGGCGGCAGGCCUAACACAUGCAAGUCGAACGGAUCCUUCGGGAUUAGUGGCGGACGGGUGAGUAACACGUGGGAACGUGCCCUUUGGUUCGGAACAACUCAGGGGAAACUUGAGCUAAUACCGGAUGUGCCCUUCGGGGGAAAGAUUUAUCGCCAUUGGAGCGGCCCGCGUCUGAUUAGCUAGUUGGUGAGGUAAAGGCUCACCAAGGCGACGAUCAGUAGCUGGUCUGAGAGGAUGAUCAGCCACAUUGGGACUGAGACACGGCCCAAACUCCUACGGGAGGCAGCAGUGGGGAAUCUUGCGCAAUGGGCGUAAGCCUGACGCAGCCAUGCCGCGUGAAUGAUGAAGGUCUUAGGAUUGUAAAAUUCUUUCACCGGGGACGAUAAUGACGGUACCCGGAGAAGAAGCCCCGGCUAACUUCGUGCCAGCAGCCGCGGU
Molecule: ribosomal RNA, 448 nt
Filed under: uncultured bacterium
Lineage: Bacteria
Description: bacterial SSU rRNA
Rfam family: Bacterial small subunit ribosomal RNA
Source: RNAcentral